Molecule: long non-coding RNA, 3387 nt
Filed under: Homo sapiens (human)
Lineage: Eukaryota; Metazoa; Chordata; Mammalia; Primates; Hominidae
Description: HSALNT0154974
Source: RNAcentral
AGGGCAGACUGGGGGUUGAGGAGGCAGAAGGGGGAAAUCAGGUCCUUGGACCACUAGCCAGUGGACGGAUUCAGGUCCAGGUCUCCCUAGUCCUCCAAGGCCCCAGGGGAUCUGCGUGUCCAUUUGUACAUAUGCACACGUGGUCUCUUUUCAGAUAGAAUGUGGUGGUUAGCAGGAUGGGGCUGAAAUUGACCAUCUGGAUUUAUAUCCAGGCUCUGCCACCAACUAGCUGGGUGCCACUCGGUGAGUUACUCAACUCUUGUGAGUCGCGUUGGCAGAAUGGGGCUACUCAAGCCCUUACUUCAGAUAGUUAUUGUGCAGAUGAAAUGGGGUAAUGUGCAUCAAAGUCUUAGGGCAGGUCUGGGUGUGUCCUAAGCACUCAGUAAAGGGCACUGCUCUUCCUCAUACAAAUUUUAUCAUCUCCCCAGCUUAGUAAAGGAAGCGUGGGAGAACAUGGGCCCAUUUUACAGAUGAGGAAACUGAGGCUCCAAAAGAAAGGACUCAACUUGAGGGUCUACAUGGAGGCUCAGGAUGCACCCUUCACUCGGCUGGCUGUACCCCCAGAACCUGCUGAGAGCAGAAGUAGUGGGAAGAAGAUCUGGACCCCAACUCUGGCUGUGCCUCUAGGCAGUGCUGUGACCUAGGGAGAGGGUCUUGCUUCCCUGGGCCUCACUUUCUUCACCAGUCAAGGGAGUGAUUCUGCCCCGGGGAAGCCCCUGAAGUCAUCAGAACUCCCCACAUGAGCUCAGCUCUCUGCAUUCCACCUGACCCUCCUCCCCAGCCACCCUUCCCCAUGCUUCUUGGCUAGUUUUCAGGUUUUGUGGCCAGUCAGGAUAAACCUCAAGAAGCUUGGAAGCAUUUCACCAACCCGGCAAUGACAGCAGUUUAUGCAAUUCAGCAAACUUUCACCAGGGACUAUGCCAAGUGCUGGAGACACAGAGAUGAAUCAGUCAGUCACUGCCCGUGAGGCUCUCCACUCAGACGGGGAUUGGGAGGGUGGGGAGGGAUACCCGAGGCAUCAGCCAGGAGGGGGCUGGAUCAGCAAAGUGAGCCUACCUGGUGGAGGGGAGGGUUUGAAAGGAUCCUUUAGGGUAGCUAAUUUCCCAGUGACAGAGAGGGCAUUUAGGAUAGGUGGACACAAGAGAAAAAAGCCAGACAGGCCACAGAGCUACUGUUUGGCCCCAAGCAAUAUAUUAUAUGUCGGGGUUGGCAAACUUAUUCUGUAAAGGGCCAGGUGGUAUUUUAGGUGCUCCAGGCCAUGUAGUCACGGAUGCGACUGCUCAACUGGCCACUGUAGCUUAAAAGCAGCCAUAGACAAUAUGUCAAUGAAUGAGCAUGGCUGUGUACCAAUAAAACUUUAUUUGUUGACACUGAAAUUUGAAUUUCCUGUCAUUUUCUUGUGUCAUAAAACAGUACAGUAUUAUUUUGAUUUUUUCCCCCCAACCAUUUAAAAAUGUGAAAACAGGCCCUGUGUGUAUGUUCAUGCCUGUAACCCCAGAGCUUUGGGAAGCUGAGGUAGGUAGAUUGCUUGAGGCCAGGAGUUCAAGACCAGCCUAGAUACAAAAAUUAGCCGGGUGUGGUGAUGUGUGCCUGUAGUCCCAGCUACUUGGAAGGCUGAGGCAGGAGAAUCUCUUGAACCUGGGAGGCGGAGAUUGCAGUGAGCCGAGAUCACACCAUUGCACUCUAGCCUGGGUUACAGAGUGAGACUCCAUCUCCAAAUAAUAAUAAUAAUACCAGCCUAGGCAAAUAGUGAGACCCCAUCUGUACAAAAAAUAAAAAAGUUAGCCUCAGGUGUGGUGUGUACAGGAGGAUCCCUUGAGCCCAGGAGUUUGAGGUUACAGUGAGCUAUGAUUGUGCCACUGUCUUCUAAGGCCUGGGUGACUCUGUCUCUUAAAAAAAAAAAAAAAAAAAGCCAACCUGGGCCACAUAAUGAGACCCUGUCUCAACAAAGAAAAAAUUUGUCGGGCAGAUGUCAUGCACCUGUAGUCCUAGCUACUUAGGAGACUGCUGAGAUGGGGGGAUUGCUUGAGUCCGGGAGGUCAAGGCUGCAGUGAGCCAUGAUUACACCACUGAACUCCUGCCUGGGCAACAGAGUGAGCCACUCUAUCAAGAAAAGAAAAAAAAAAAAAAAAGGCUAGGUGCUAUUCUGAGCACUUUAGGAGGCUGAGGCGGGCAGAUCCAUUGAGCUCAAGAGGUUGAGACUAGCCUGGGCAACAUAGCAAUACCCCUUCUCUACCAAAAAUACAAAAAUUAGUCAAGCAAAGUGGUGUACACCUUUAGUCCCAGCUACUCAGGAGGCUGAGGUGCGGGGAGGAUUGCUUGAGCCCAGGAGGUCAAAGCUGCAGUGAGCCAAGAUCACACCACUGCACUCUAGCCUGGGUGACAAAGUGAGACCCUGUCUCCAAAAAGAAAGAAAGAGAGAAAGAAAGAAGGAAAGGGCCGGGCAUGGUGGCUCAUACCUGUAAUCCUAGCACUUUGGGAGACCGAGGCAGGUGAAUCACCUGAGGUCAGGAGUUUGAGAUCAGCCUGGCCAAUGCAGUGAAACCCCGUCUCUACUAAAAAUACACAAAUUAGCUGGGCGUGGUGGUGUACGCUUGUAAUCCCAGCUACUAGGGAGGCUGAGGCAGGAGAAUCGCUUGAACCUGGGAGUCAGAGGUUGCAGUGAGCCAAGAGGGCGCCAUUGCACUCCAGGCUGGGCAACAAGAGCGAAACUCUAUCUCAAAAAAAAAAAAAGUAUCUAGGCCAGUCAGUGGAAGUGUCCUUUCAAAUCCUGCUCCCCAUCCAGGGGUGACCACUCCCCAUCCAGGUGGGUGACUGUGAGUUCAGCCCCUUUCCAAUGCACACAGACAUGUACACAUGGGCACACACGCACCCACAAGCUUCAUUAUUCACACCACACACAGCUCAUUCCACACGAUGGUUCCGUGACAUGCUUCUGUCACUUAGCAUCUCCCCCGUGUCUUCCCAUCUCAGCACCUGGAUCCAUCCUCUUUGAUCUUUGUAUUGACCACCAAGCAUCACGUGGCAGGCUAUGCCACCCUGCACCCAGGCGGUCCCCUACCAUUGGGCAUCCAGGCUGCUCCCUUCUCUAGGCAAUUACCAGCCAUGCUGCUGUGACCCUACAACAUGCGGUUCUAACUCUGUGCACUGUUGCCAGCCUUUUAGUCAAAAAGAUUCUCUGAAGCAAAAGUGCUGUGUUAAAGGGCACAAGAACUGAAGUUUUGGAUCAGCGUGGCAUCCUGUAGCAGUUUCCUGUCUUGCUGCCAGGAACAAGCAUUGCAAACCCUCUGGGACCUGGGGAAGUCCUGUGGGGUGGUCAGGAACUGGGACCUCAGUGUCUCAGAUGCCCCUAGGAGACUCUAGGGCUCAGGCAUCACCAGGGUGGAC